AGUGGCGGACGGGUGAGUAACGCGUGAGAAUCUGCCUUGGGGUCGGGGACAACCACUGGAAACGGUGGCUAAUACCGGAUAAGCCGAUUGGUGAAAGAUUUAUUGCCCGAAGAGGAGCUCGCGUCUGAUUAGCUAGUUGGUGAGGUAAGAGCUCACCAAGGCAGCGAUCAGUAGCUGGUCUGAGAGGACGAUCAGCCACACUGGGACUGAGACACGGCCCACACUCCUACGGGAGGCAGCAGUGGGGAAUUUUCCGCAAUGGGCGAAAGCCUGACGGAGCAAGACCGCGUGAGGGAGGAAGGCUCUUGGGUUGUAAACCUCUUUUCUCAGGGAAGAAGCUCUGACGGUACCUGAGGAAUCAGCCUCGGCUAACUCCGUGCCAGCAGCCGCGGUAAUACGGAGGAGGCAAGCGUUAUCCGGAAUUAUUGGGCGUAAAGCGUCCGCAGGUGGCGAUUCAAGUCUGCUGUCAAAGCACGGGGCUUAACUCCGUAAAGGCAGUGGAAACUGAAUAGCUAGAGUGCCGUAGGGGUAGAGGGAAUUCCCGGUGUAGCGGUGAAAUGCGUAGAGAUCGGGAAGAACAUCGGUGGCGAAAGCGCUCUACUGGACGGCAACUGACACUCAGGGACGAAAGCUAGGGGAGCGAAUGGGAUUAGAUACCCC
RNAcentral lists this ribosomal RNA (660 nucleotides) under uncultured bacterium. Its description in RNAcentral is "bacterial SSU rRNA". It matches the Rfam family "Bacterial small subunit ribosomal RNA", at positions 94 to 788 of the family's 1533-position model. The record is from RNAcentral.